RNAcentral lists this ribosomal RNA (265 nucleotides) under Salmonella enterica subsp. enterica serovar Anatum. Its description in RNAcentral is "partial 23S ribosomal RNA". It matches the Rfam family "Bacterial large subunit ribosomal RNA", at positions 1132 to 1396 of the family's 2925-position model. Lineage: Bacteria; Pseudomonadati; Pseudomonadota; Gammaproteobacteria; Enterobacterales; Enterobacteriaceae. The record is from RNAcentral.
GCGUAAUAGCUCACUGGUCGAGUCGGCCUGCGCGGAAGAUGUAACGGGGCUAAACCAUGCACCGAAGCUGCGGCAGCGACACUGUGUGUUGUUGGGUAGGGGAGCGUUCUGUAAGCCUGCGAAGGUGGCCUGUGAGGGUUGCUGGAGGUAUCAGAAGUGCGAAUGCUGACAUAAGUAACGAUAAAGCGGGUGAAAAGCCCGCUCGCCGGAAGACCAAGGGUUCCUGUCCAACGUUAAUCGGGGCAGGGUGAGUCGACCCCUAAGG